Molecule: ribosomal RNA, 1529 nt
Filed under: Burkholderia cenocepacia
Lineage: Bacteria; Pseudomonadati; Pseudomonadota; Betaproteobacteria; Burkholderiales; Burkholderiaceae
Also listed under: 1 other name
Description: bacterial SSU rRNA
Rfam family: Bacterial small subunit ribosomal RNA
Source: RNAcentral
UGAAGAGUUUGAUCCUGGCUCAGAUUGAACGCUGGCGGCAUGCCUUACACAUGCAAGUCGAACGGCAGCACGGGUGCUUGCACCUGGUGGCGAGUGGCGAACGGGUGAGUAAUACAUCGGAACAUGUCCUGUAGUGGGGGAUAGCCCGGCGAAAGCCGGAUUAAUACCGCAUACGAUCUACGGAUGAAAGCGGGGGACCUUCGGGCCUCGCGCUAUAGGGUUGGCCGAUGGCUGAUUAGCUAGUUGGUGGGGUAAAGGCCUACCAAGGCGACGAUCAGUAGCUGGUCUGAGAGGACGACCAGCCACACUGGGACUGAGACACGGCCCAGACUCCUACGGGAGGCAGCAGUGGGGAAUUUUGGACAAUGGGCGAAAGCCUGAUCCAGCAAUGCCGCGUGUGUGAAGAAGGCCUUCGGGUUGUAAAGCACUUUUGUCCGGAAAGAAAUCCUUGGCUCUAAUACAGUCGGGGGAUGACGGUACCGGAAGAAUAAGCACCGGCUAACUACGUGCCAGCAGCCGCGGUAAUACGUAGGGUGCGAGCGUUAAUCGGAAUUACUGGGCGUAAAGCGUGCGCAGGCGGUUUGCUAAGACCGAUGUGAAAUCCCCGGGCUCAACCUGGGAACUGCAUUGGUGACUGGCAGGCUAGAGUAUGGCAGAGGGGGGUAGAAUUCCACGUGUAGCAGUGAAAUGCGUAGAGAUGUGGAGGAAUACCGAUGGCGAAGGCAGCCCCCUGGGCCAAUACUGACGCUCAUGCACGAAAGCGUGGGGAGCAAACAGGAUUAGAUACCCUGGUAGUCCACGCCCUAAACGAUGUCAACUAGUUGUUGGGGAUUCAUUUCCUUAGUAACGUAGCUAACGCGUGAAGUUGACCGCCUGGGGAGUACGGUCGCAAGAUUAAAACUCAAAGGAAUUGACGGGGACCCGCACAAGCGGUGGAUGAUGUGGAUUAAUUCGAUGCAACGCGAAAAACCUUACCUACCCUUGACAUGGUCGGAAUCCUGCCGAGAGGUGGGAGUGCUCGAAAGAGAACCGGCGCACAGGUGCUGCAUGGCUGUCGUCAGCUCGUGUCGUGAGAUGUUGGGUUAAGUCCCGCAACGAGCGCAACCCUUGUCCUUAGUUGCUACGCAAGAGCACUCUAAGGAGACUGCCGGUGACAAACCGGAGGAAGGUGGGGAUGACGUCAAGUCCUCAUGGCCCUUAUGGGUAGGGCUUCACACGUCAUACAAUGGUCGGAACAGAGGGUUGCCAACCCGCGAGGGGGAGCUAAUCCCAGAAAACCGAUCGUAGUCCGGAUUGCACUCUGCAACUCGAGUGCAUGAAGCUGGAAUCGCUAGUAAUCGCGGAUCAGCAUGCAGCGGUGAAAACGAUCCCGGGUCUUGUACACACCGCCCGUCACACCAUGGGAGUGGGUUUUACCAGAAGUGGCUAGUCUAACCGCAAGGAGGACGGUCACCACGGUAGGAUUCAUGACUGGGGUGAAGUCGUAACAAGGUAGCCGUAUCGGAAGGUGCGGCUGGAUCACCUCCUUU